RNAcentral lists this ribosomal RNA (423 nucleotides) under uncultured prokaryote. Its description in RNAcentral is "bacterial SSU rRNA". It matches the Rfam family "Bacterial small subunit ribosomal RNA", at positions 355 to 796 of the family's 1533-position model. The record is from RNAcentral.
UUAAGAAUCUUGCGCAAUGGGGGCAACCCUGACGCAGCGACGCCGCGUGAAGGAUGAAGGCCCUCGGGUUGUAAACUUCAAUAGACAGGGAAGAAUUUUGACGGUACCUGUCGCCAGCACCGGCUAAAUACGUGCCAGCAGCCGCGGUAAUACGUAUGGUGCAAGCGUUGUUCGGAUUUACUGGGCGUAAAGAGCGCGCAGGCGGAUUGUUAAGACGGGUGUGAAAUCUCCGGGCUCAACCCGGAGGCUGCACCCGAAACUGGCAAUCUGGAGUCCUGGAGAGGCAGACGGAAUACUUGGUGUAGCGGUGAAAUGCGUAAAUAUCAAGUGGAACACCGAUGGCGAAGGCAGUCUGCUGGACAGUGACUGACGCUGAGGCGCGAAAGCGUGGGGAGCAAACAGGAUUAGAUACCCCGGUAGUCC